Molecule: ribosomal RNA, 252 nt
Filed under: uncultured Streptococcaceae bacterium
Lineage: Bacteria; Bacillati; Bacillota; Bacilli; Lactobacillales; Streptococcaceae
Description: partial 16S ribosomal RNA
Rfam family: Bacterial small subunit ribosomal RNA
Source: RNAcentral
GUGCCAGCAGCCGCGGUAAUACGUAGGUCCCGAGCGUUGUCCGGAUUUAUUGGGCGUAAAGCGAGCGCAGGCGGUUAGAUAAGUCUGAAGUUAAAGGCUGUGGCUUAACCAUAGUACGCUUUGGAAACUGUUUAACUUGAGUGCAAGAGGGGAGAGUGGAAUUCCAUGUGUAGCGGUGAAAUGCGUAGAUAUAUGGAGGAACACCGGUGGCGAAAGCGGCUCUCUGGCUUGUAACUGACGCUGAGGCUCGAA